CUUACAAGGUGUCCUUGAGCGAAGAAAGUGUAGUCUUGGAAACAGAUUUUUACAUUUGAAUAUUCAAUCUACUCUGUUCUUAACAGUUAUGAUGUAUGCGUAUCACCUCAUUGGCAUGCCUAAAAUAACUUUAUGUACUUUCCUGCUGUGUACCACAUCAUAUACAAGCAUCUCCACUACGUUUCCAACUUGUUUUAGAGGUCGUCAAGAACUGUAAUAUACUAUAUAUAUAUAUAAAAAAGACACUUGUCCAGUUAAAGAAAAACUGUUAAGUCAUUAAGUUCAUCAUCCAUGACCGUGUACACCAUUGAGGUCCAUUUUCCAAGGUGUAAAUAAUACAAAAGAUAUUACAAAAUGACUAGAUGAACCAGUUUUCUCAUCUUACACGCCAUCACUUCUUGUUAUUUGUAGGCGGGUGAAGUCAACGAUCUCGCCAUUACUUCAAAAUCUUUGGUGAACACGUGGUUCUGUCUUCUGAAUCCACCGAGGCGUGACUGAGGUGAAGAACUGUAGAGUUUUACAAGCGGACUGGAAAGGCUUUUCGUACCCAGAGGGUUAGGGUUAGAAAAAAAAAGUACUUUGCGCAAAGUUUACACUUGUGUUUUUGAUCAUUGGUUUGAAUGGAAUGCAGCCACGCCGACAACUUCCUUGAUACGGUGUGAAUUAGUAAAUAUUAAAGAAGUUAGACUUGGCGGUCUUCAUUAGGAUCGCCAGGGCUGGGUAGUCUGUUCGUCCCGCCGCUGAAUGAAUGAAAUAAUCCCUGAAGGCUGUAGAUGUAGUACUGUUGUUGACGCAUAUUGACCAACCAGUCCAACGGGAGUCGCACUACAGCACCAUCUUAUGUCGCAAUCGCUUACGAUUUACAUAAUCCUACAUUUUCCAUUGUGAUGGACUUUUGAUCUAUUUAAUGUGUUAGCUGGAUGGGGUAAAAGUUUGGGAGCAGAUCUCUCAGACAUCUUGAGGAAAGCGCAAAGGAGGACGUCCUGACACCACCCUGGAUCGUCUGCAGCUUCCACCCGAUGAGAGCCUGUCAUCUUUUGAACUGUGCAUGGCACGUGAGACAGUGGCACAUACGGCAGGAAUGUCGGAAUCGCUGCCGGAGCGCGUGGGUGCCGAAGGCACAGCUAUGGUGACAGGGACAACGUUUUUCCAUUCGCAUAUGAAGCAGACUCACAAAAAAAAAAGACGUUCCUUUCUUUGGCGAGAUCGUCAGCCGGCGACUCAUCCUCCAAAGAAAGCUGACAAGAGGAUAUGUCAAAGAGAGACUUUGCCCCUCUGCGUUAAUCCAAAGGCAGCUCUCCUGUGGCCGACGUAGCACGAGAAGGCCAGAGCUGCUCCUCUGACCUGCACACAGCAGCUCCCUGAGCAACAAUAUCCCACGGCCGCCCCCUCGGGACCACAGACAGGUAAAAUGGUGCAAUCUUACUGUGAAUGCUGGAGCGCAGGCAAGCCAGAGAUGAAUGGGACAGUAGAAAUGCAUCUCUCACACACACACACACACACACACACACUCUUAACCACUCUCAAAAACACACAGGUGCGCGCACACACACAUGCUUAGUUGUAAAAGCUGUACUGAGAGGAUGUAGCGUUGAGUACAGACUAAUUGGAACAUUAAUUAUUGUUGCAGCGAAUUACGGCAUUGUCCCUGAUUCUAUGCCUGAAAUGGGUUUGUGUGUGUGUGUGUGUGUGCGUGCAUGUGUGUCCAUCCAAACCUCAAUCACUAAACAGAUAGUUCUCAGCGCUGUGAUCUGACUCUUGACUUUGACCUUUCAGACUGCUUUCAAUCAGGUCCUCACUGCCUGACAGACGCAGGCGCUUAUCAGGGUCUCUCUGCCUCUCACAUGCAACACACACACACACACACACACACACACACCCGAGGGUAGUGACAGGCCCUGUCUCCAGUUGACAGGGUUUUAUAUCAGCAAAGACAUCAAGCCGCCCACAACCACCCUCCCUUCGCACUGACCCCACGACCAUGCCAUGAUGAGAGAUAGGACAAUCUGCUGCAUGACAGCUCCACUCAAACAAUGACACUCAAACACACAUGCGCGCGCGUGUGUGCACGGAAAGCUGCGUGCGCACGCACACGUGAGCACGGACACG
This is a long non-coding RNA of Scophthalmus maximus (turbot), 2109 nucleotides long. RefSeq lists it as uncharacterized. The record is from RefSeq and is a predicted model, not a curated record. Lineage: Eukaryota; Metazoa; Chordata; Actinopteri; Pleuronectiformes; Scophthalmidae. The transcript has 3 exons.